UUUUUUUCUUGCCCACUAGCAUUUUAUUGAGAAAAGCAAAGCGACGACUUUGACUUGCUUCAUGCCGUUGGAUAUCAAUUAUUAGUUUCUUAAGUCUCUUUUUCUUUUCUCAUUAUUCUUCUGCAAAAUGAUUUUCAGAUAACAUAACUGGAUUCAGUUAAGCAGUCGUUUGUUUUCAUUCAACUUCAGUUCAGCUUGACUGGACAUAAGCUUUGCCUCUGUUUUAGUUGCAAAACCAAAGUAGCCAUGGCUGAAUCUGUGGUGUCUUUUCUUGUGGAAAGGCUCGGAGAGCUAUUAAUUGAGGAGGCUGCACAGUUAUUGGGGGUUAACAAAAAAGUCAAGCAGUUGCAAAUUGAACUAAAGCGGAUGCAGUGCUUCCUCAAAGAUGCAGACAAAAGACUAGAUGAAGAAGAAAGUGUUAAAAACUGGGUUUCAGAGAUAAGGGAGGCUGCUUAUGAUGUUGAAGAUGUGAUUGACAAUUAUAUUGUUAAAUUUGCAUCCAAGAAAGGUGGGACAAUCAGAAACUCGAUUAUCCACAGAAAGGAACUUCAUAAUCUUGCAUCAGAGAUUGAAAAAAUCAAAUCUAGAAUCACUGACCUGACCAGAAGUUUGCAGACCUAUGGAAUAACAGCAAGAAAAGAAGGCGAAGGGUCUAGAAUUUUAUCAGAGAGGCAAAGGCAGCUGAGAUGGUCUUAUUCCCAUAUUGUGGAAGAGCAUAUUGUUGGGUUUGAAGAAAACAUAAAGGAACUGAUGGUGAAGUUAAUUCAUGAAGAAGAACGUUGCCGUGUUGUGUCUAUCUGUGGGAUGGGAGGUCUUGGGAAGACCACCCUAGCAAAGACCUUAUACCAUCAUGCAGAUAUUAGGAGACACUUUGAGGCUUUUGCUUGGGCUUAUAUUUCUCAACAAUGCAGACCAAGAGAUGUUUGGGAAGGAAUUCUGCUGAAAUUGAUCAACCCAUCAAAGGAGGAGAAGGAAGAAAUUUUGAGAAUGAGGGAUGAGGAAUUAGCAAAGAAGCUUUACAAAGUUCAGCAAGAGAAGAAAUGUUUGAUUGUGAUUGAUGAUAUUUGGACCAGUGAGGCGUGGGAGACUUUAUUCCCUGCUUUCCCUGAUGAAACAACUGUUGGUAGCAAAAUAUUGCUCACAACCCGCAAUAGGAAAGUAGCUUCGCAUGCUGAUCAGAAUGGAUUCCUUCAUGAACCAGAGUGUUUAAAUGAAGAACAGAGUUGGGAGCUAUUCCAAUUGAAAGCAUUUCCAAGGAAAGACAAAUCAGGCUUUGUAGUUGAAAAAGAUAUGGAGAAUUUAGGGAGGGAAAUGGUGGGAAGUUGUGCAGGUCUACCGCUGGCAAUCAUUGUGCUUGGUGGACUUUUGGCAACGAAAGAAACAGUGAAUGAGUGGGAUAAGGUGCACAGAAAUAUCAAGUUACACUUGGCAAGAUCAAAAGAGAGUGGACGACAAGCUAAACUAUCUGAGGUAUUGGCUUUAAGUUACCAUGAAUUACCUUACCAACUGAAACCAUGCUUCUUGCAUUUGAGCCAGUUUCCAGAAGAUUUUGAAAUACCAACCAAGAAAUUAGUUCGGCAAUGGGUUGCAGAAGGCUUUAUAUCCUCACAGAAUGAAGUAGAAGUAGAUGAAAGGCAUGAAACCGUGGAGGAAGUUGCACAGGGCUACUUACAUGACAUGAUAAAUAGGUCGAUGGUUCAAGUGGGAGUGAAGGGUUCAACAGGAACCAUAAAAACUUGUCGCCUGCAUGACCUUAUGCGUGAUUUAUGCUUGUCAAAGGCCAAACAAGAAAAUUUUAUGCAUAUUAUUGGUUCUCUCCCAUCUUCUACGUAUUCUAGACCAACACCUGUAAGCAAGAUCCGUAGAUGUGCUAUCCAUUUGGAUCAAAACAACCAAGAUCCUGGUUUGCCAGAAUACCAGAAAAACCCUAACCUUAGGUCCUUAUUCUUUUUCCGUCCAAAAAAACAUAGAAUACAUAAUGAGCGCCUUUUGAAAUCUGUGUUUGACAAAUUCAAAUUGCUUAAAGUGUUGGAUCUUGAAGGAAUUAAAGGACUUGAGGAGAAAUUACCUGAAGAUAUAGGAUUUCUUGUUCAGAUGAGAUUUUUAAGUCUGAAGAAAACACGUAUAAGAGAAUUGCCGACAUCUUUGGUCAAUCUGGUUGGCUUGCAGACUCUGAACUUGCAAACAAUUGAUAAAGUGUCAUGGGAAUCAACUGUACAAGUGCCUAAUAUUUUAUGGAAGAUGGCGCAGUUGAGACAUCUAUAUCUUCCUAAGUGGUGCGGGGAUGUUACAGGUAAUUUACAGUUGGCCUGUCUGAGCAAUUUGCAGACUCUUGUAAAUUUUCCUGCUAAUAAAUGUAAUGUUAGGGAUCUCCUCCUAUUAACCAACCUCCGAAAACUUGUUCUAAAUGACCCUAGACACUUUGAAUCAUUUGUCCAAAUCUUUGAAUCUCCAAAUAAGAUAUUGCCAUACCUGACGUCCCUGUCCUUAAAAACUGACCUCCUUUCCUUUCCGGAUACAGUAGUUGAUUUAAGGAAACUACUAUUAGGCUGUCCACGUCUUUGCAAGCUGCAUGUAGAAGGAAGAAUAAAGAACUUACCCCGAGAUAAUGAAUUCCCUUCAUCUCUCACCAAGUUAACUUUAUGGGGAUCUAGACUUGUUGAAGAUCCAAUGGAAGCGCUUGGGAAGCUGCCUCACUUAAAGUACUUAAGUGGAUGGGAAUUAUUCAUGGGAAAGAAAAUGACUUGCUCUAGGAACAGUUUCCCCCAACUAAAAACGUUACUUCUUCGUGGGUUGUCCAAUUUUGAGGAGUGGAAGAUUGAAGAAGGAGCUAUGCCUACUCUUAGUCGUUUGGGUAUUUCUGAUUGCUACAAGCUGAAGAUGGUUCCAGAUGGACUGAGGCUUGUCACUACCCUCCGGGAAGUAGAGAUUAGGUGGAUGUCAAGAGCAUUCAAAAGUAGUAUUGAGGAAGAUGGGGAAGAUUUCUACAAAGUCCAACAUGUGCCUUCCAUUGUAUUUUUGAACUGAGACAAAAUUAUGGUGAGUGACGCUAUACUAUUGAUGUUAAUUUGUUCAAUUGUUAUAAUGUUGAUUUAAUUUGCAUAUUGGCUAUUAAUGUCAUACUCAAGACCACCUCUAACUGCAUUGUUCUAGCUUUAUUCCAGGCUUGGUGGCAUAUUUUUACCAGUUGCCUUACAAAUAAAUUUUUGAAGUCAAACUCCAAACAAUAUAAAACUUCUAACAGACUGCAUGGAAGACUGUUAUAUAGACACUGAUGCUUUGAAAAGUAAAAGGAGCAAGAUGACUCAGAGUUCUAUGGGUGUUUCUUUGCAAGAUUUGUCAUUUAAGAUUACCUAGUUCUCUUGCUUAUAUUGUUAAGACUUCUCUUGAUUUAAAUGCUUGUUGGUGUUGCCUCAACUAUUGGAUAAGGUGCAUAUUUGUCAUAGUUACUAGGUUGAUACAGCAACUAAAUAUCUUGUAUUAAGCACAUACUAAUGCAAUUUAUCAGAUUCCUAAGAUAGCUGGAUAGAGAA
This is an RNA transcript of Gossypium arboreum, 3533 nucleotides long. It is a transcript of the gene named putative disease resistance protein At1g50180, with no coding region annotated. The transcript is spliced from 3 exons. Lineage: Eukaryota; Viridiplantae; Streptophyta; Magnoliopsida; Malvales; Malvaceae. The record is from RefSeq and is a predicted model, not a curated record.